AUACAGAGGGUGCGAGCGUUAAUCGGAAUUACUGGGCGUAAAGCGCGCGUAGGCGGCUACUUAAGUCAGAUGUGAAAUCCCCGGGCUCAACCUGGGAACUGCAUCUGAUACUGGGUAGCUAGAGUUUAGGCGAGGGAAGUAGAAUUUCAGGUGUAGCGGUGAAAUGCAUAGAGAUCUGAAGGAAUACAAGUGGCGAAGGCGGCUUCCUGGCCUAAAACUGACGCUGAGGUGCGAAAGCGUGGGUAGCAAACGGGAUUAGAUACCCCAGUAGUCC
RNAcentral lists this ribosomal RNA (274 nucleotides) under uncultured bacterium. RNAcentral's name for it is "partial 16S ribosomal RNA". It matches the Rfam family "Bacterial small subunit ribosomal RNA", at positions 523 to 796 of the family's 1533-position model. The record is from RNAcentral.